UGGGGAAUAUUGGACAAUGGGGGCAACCCUGAUCCAGCAAUGCCGCGUGUGUGAAGAAGGCCUGCGGGUUGUAAAGCACUUUCAAUCGUGAAGAAAAGCUUACGGUUAAUACCCGUAAGUCUUGACGUUAACGAUACAAGAAGCACCGGCUAACUCCGUGCCAGCAGCCGCGGUAAUACGGAGGGUGCGAGCGUUAAUCGGAAUUACUGGGCGUAAAGAGCACGUAGGCGGUUUGGUCAGUCGGAUGUGAAAGCCCCGGGCUUAACCUGGGAAUUGCAUUCGAUACUGCCAGACUAGAGUUUAAUAGAGGAAUGCGGAAUUCCGGGUGUAGCGGUGAAAUGCGUAGAUAUCCGGAGGAACAUCAGUGGCGAAGGCGGCAUUCUGGGUUAAAACUGACGCUGAGGUGCGAAAGCGUGGGGAGCAAACAGGAUUAGAUACCCCCGUAGUCC
RNAcentral lists this ribosomal RNA (449 nucleotides) under uncultured prokaryote. RNAcentral's name for it is "bacterial SSU rRNA". It matches the Rfam family "Bacterial small subunit ribosomal RNA", at positions 355 to 796 of the family's 1533-position model. The record is from RNAcentral.